UGAACAAUUACACUGUAAGCAAGCGCAAAAAAAUUAUUUCUGUUAUACAAAUUAUGCUCUCUCAUUUUGUGAGAAAAAAUCAGACAAAAAUUGCAAGUUUUCGAAGUUAAUAGCUUAAAAGUUUGAUUUUUUUAUUCUUUAAAAAAAAAACAAUUAAAUAAAAAAUAAUGUUGAAACUACUGAUAGUAAUUUUAUCAAUCUUACUCUCCAUAUGGAAAAUUAAUGCUGCUAAUUGUUAUGCGGAGCACGGGCCUUGCGUAUACGAUAAUGUAUGUUGUAAAGGAUUGAAUUGUCAAGGUCCGGCAGGCGCUAGAUCGUGCAGGUGGUAGCAAGAAAAAAUAUAAAAUGGAAACAUUUUUAUUCCUUCAAUAAAUAUUUCUGAAAUUCGAU
Cotesia glomerata is the source of this 390-nucleotide long non-coding RNA. RefSeq lists it as uncharacterized. The transcript is spliced from 2 exons. The record is from RefSeq and is a predicted model, not a curated record. NCBI's taxonomy places the organism in Eukaryota, Metazoa, Arthropoda, Insecta, Hymenoptera, Braconidae.